RNAcentral lists this transfer RNA (74 nucleotides) under Aquabacterium commune. It matches the Rfam family "tRNA". Rfam says of the family: Transfer RNA (tRNA) molecules are approximately 80 nucleotides in length. Their secondary structure includes four short double-helical elements and three loops (D, anti-codon, and T loops). Further hydrogen bonds mediate the characteristic L-shaped molecular structure. tRNAs have two regions of fundamental functional importance: the anti-codon, which is responsible for specific mRNA codon recognition, and the 3' end, to which the tRNAs corresponding amino acid is attached (by aminoacyl-tRNA synthetases). tRNAs cope with the degeneracy of the genetic code in two manners: having more than one tRNA (with a specific anti-codon) for a particular amino acid; and 'wobble' base-pairing, i.e. permitting non-standard base-pairing at the 3rd anti-codon position. The record is from Rfam by way of RNAcentral. Lineage: Bacteria; Pseudomonadati; Pseudomonadota; Betaproteobacteria; Burkholderiales; Sphaerotilaceae. RNAcentral also lists the same sequence under 1 other name.
AGGCGCUUAGCUCAGUUGGUUAGAGCACCACCUUGACAUGGUGGGGGUCGUUGGUUCGAAUCCAAUAGCGCCUA